Molecule: ribosomal RNA, 279 nt
Filed under: uncultured bacterium
Lineage: Bacteria
Description: partial 16S ribosomal RNA
Rfam family: Bacterial small subunit ribosomal RNA
Source: RNAcentral
UGCCAGCAGCCGCGGUAAUACGGGGGGGGCGAGCGUUGUUCGGAAUUACUGGGCGUAAAGGGCGCGUAGGCGGUUUGCUAAGUUAGAUGUGAAAACUCUGGGCUCAACCCAGAGCCUGCAUCUAAAACUGGCAGGCUAGAGUUCUGGAGGGGGUAGCGGAAUUCCUGGUGUAGCGGUGAAAUGCGUAGAUAUCAGGAGGAACACCGGUGGCGAAGGCGGCUACCUGGACAGAAACUGACGCUGAGGCGCGAAAGCUAGGGGAGCAAACAGGAUUAGAUA